RNAcentral lists this ribosomal RNA (413 nucleotides) under uncultured beta proteobacterium. Its description in RNAcentral is "bacterial SSU rRNA". It matches the Rfam family "Bacterial small subunit ribosomal RNA", at positions 9 to 428 of the family's 1533-position model. Lineage: Bacteria; Pseudomonadati; Pseudomonadota; Betaproteobacteria. The record is from RNAcentral.
GAGUUUGAUCCUGGCUCAGAUUGAACGCUGGCGGCAUGCCUUACACAUGCAAGUCGAACGCGAAAGCGGGGCAACCCGCAAGUAGAGUGGCGAACGGGUGAGUAAUACAUCGGAACAUAUCCAGUAGCGGGGGAUAACCUGUCGAAAGAUAGGCUAAUACCGCAUACGACCUACGGGUGAAAGCGGAGGACCGCAAGGCUUCGCACUAUUGGAGUGGCCGAUGUCGGAUUAGCUAGUUGGUGAGGUAAAAGCUCACCAAGGCGACGAUCCGUAGCUGGUCUGAGAGGACGACCAGCCACACUGGAACUGAGACACGGUCCAGACUCCUACGGGAGGCAGCAGUGGGGAAUUUUGGACAAUGGGCGCAAGCCUGAUCCAGCCAUGCCGCGUGAGUGAAGAAGGCCUCGGUGUAA